CAUCCAUUUUCACCGUUUCGAAACCAUUUUAUUUCCCCCAAAUUUCAAACCCUAACAUCGAAAAUUCGUCUGCGAUCUUCCCAAAGCGUCAACAAACCAACCAAUUUUCAUCUUCUUUCUCUUCGGGAUAUUCGUUUAUCAAAGACAGAAAACUAGGUUUUACCUUCGAUUAUUUUCGUCAAAUUCAACUUGUUGAACAUUGUUCAUCAUGAAGUUCCUAGAGUGUGCUCCUCUUGACCGGCUUUCUUUUUAAAAUUUCACAUUGAAGCAAGUUGACUGGUAAAACAUGUGCUUCUGUCAUGGCGAUGUGUCUUGGUGUGGAGG
Long non-coding RNA from Vicia villosa (hairy vetch), 324 nucleotides. RefSeq lists it as uncharacterized. The transcript has 3 exons. Lineage: Eukaryota; Viridiplantae; Streptophyta; Magnoliopsida; Fabales; Fabaceae. The record is from RefSeq and is a predicted model, not a curated record.